GGGGGUAUAGCUCAGUGGUUAGAGCAUUUGACUGCAGAUCAAGGGUCCCCGGUUCAAAUUCGGGUGUCCCCU
Molecule: non-coding RNA, 72 nt
Organism: Carassius auratus (goldfish)
Lineage: Eukaryota; Metazoa; Chordata; Actinopteri; Cypriniformes; Cyprinidae
Source: the annotation of a RefSeq genome assembly